Molecule: ribosomal RNA, 826 nt
Filed under: uncultured eukaryote
Lineage: Eukaryota
Description: SSU rRNA
Rfam family: Eukaryotic small subunit ribosomal RNA
Source: RNAcentral
GUAUAAGUAUUAUACAGCGAAACUGCGAAUGGCUCAUUAAAACAGUUAUAAUUUAUUUGAUAAUCGAAUUUACAUGGAUAACCGUGGUAAUUCUAGAGCUAAUACAUGCUGGUAGGCCCGACUUUUUGGAAGGGCGGUAUUUAUUAGAUAACAAACCAAUAUUCCUCUGGUCUAUUGUGGUGAAUCAUAAUAACUGAUCGAAUCGCAAGGUUUUUAACCGCGAUAAGUCAUUCAAGUUUCUGCCCCAUCAGCUUUCGAUGGUAGUGUAUUGGACUACCAUGGCUUUUACGGGUAACGGAGGAUUAGGGUUCGAUUCCGGAGAGGGAGCCUGAGAAACGGCUACCACAUCUAAGGAAGGCAGCAGGCGCGUAAAUUACCCAAUCCUGACUCAGGGAGGUAGUGACAAGAAAUAACGGACCGAGGCCUUCGGGCUUCGGGAUUGCAAUGAGCCGAAUUUACACCCCUUAGCGAAGAUCGAUUGGAGGGCAAGUCUGGUGCCAGCAGCCGCGGUAAUUCCAGCUCCAAUAGCGUAUAUUAAUGUUGUUGCAGUUAAAAAGCUCGUAGUUGGAUUUCUGGGAAAGUGCAUAUGUCCGCUUAACGUGUGUGCAUCUGCGCUUUCUCAUCCUUCUGUUAGCGCCUCUUGUCAUUCAUUUGAUGGUGGCGGGCUCAGAUAUUUUACCUUGAGAAAAUUAGAGUGUUUCAGGCAGGCUAGGCCGGAAUACAUUAGCAUGGAAUAAUGGAAUAGGACUUUAGUCUCUUUGUUGGUUUGAGGGACUGCAGUAAUGAUUAAUAGGGAUAGUUGGGGGCAUUAGUACUUAACUGUCAG